Molecule: ribosomal RNA, 253 nt
Filed under: uncultured prokaryote
Description: partial 16S ribosomal RNA
Rfam family: Bacterial small subunit ribosomal RNA
Source: RNAcentral
UACGUAGGCAGCAAGCGUUGUUCGGAGUUACUGGGCGUAAAGAGUGUGUAGGCGGUUCUCUAAGUUCGGUGUGAAAUCUCCCGGCUCAACUGGGGGGGUGCGCCGGAAACUGGAGGGCUUGAGUAUGGGAGAGGAAAGCGGAAUUCCUGGUGUAGCGGUGAAAUGCGCAGAUAUCAGGAGGAACACCGGUGGCGAAGGCGGUGGUCUGGGCCGGAACUGACGCUGAGGAGCGAAAGCGUGGGGAGCGAACAGG